RNAcentral lists this ribosomal RNA (468 nucleotides) under uncultured bacterium. Its description in RNAcentral is "partial 16S ribosomal RNA". It matches the Rfam family "Bacterial small subunit ribosomal RNA", at positions 28 to 507 of the family's 1533-position model. The record is from RNAcentral.
GACGAACGCUGGCGGCGUGCUUAACACAUGCAAGUCGAACGGAAAGGCCCUGCUUUUGUGGGGUGCUCGAGUGGCGAACGGGUGAGUAACACGUGAGUAACCUUCCCUUGACUUUGGGAUAACUUCAGGAAACUGGGGCUAAUACCGGAUAGGAGCUCCUGCUGCAUGGUGGGGGUUGGACAGUUUCGGCGGUUGGGGAUGGACUCGCGGCUUAUCAGCUUGUUGGUGGGGUAGUGGCUUACCAAGGCUUUGACGGGUAGCCGGCCUGAGAGGGUGACCGGCCACAUUGGGACUGAGAUACGGCCCAGACUCCUACGGGAGGCAGCAGUGGGGAAUAUUGCACAAUGGGCGGAAGCCUGAUGCAGCAACGCCGCGUGCGGGAUGACGGCCUUCGGGUUGUAAACCGCUUUCGCCUGUGACGAAGCGUGAGUGACGGUAAUGGGUAAAGAAGCACCGGCUAACUACGUG